CCGAGUGGGUAUAGAUAAAAAGACGACGCUAAGUCUCUCUGUCUCCCUCACUCCUUAAAUCCGAACCCUAUCGCCGCCACUCGGAGUGAAGGAAGCUUCGUGCCUUUCCAAGUGCUCGCUUCGUGUAGAUUUUCAGGCCGGUCCGAUCUUUGCUGUUGAGUUUGAUGGUAUCAGGAUGUGGUGGGAAAGAGCGCGGGGUUCGGCGGUGAGGACGAUCGUGAAUCUCGCCGAGGAUUCGAAGCUCGCGCGAGAGGGAGUCAAGGCUCCUAGUCACUCGAUCCUGAGCGUCUGCAAGUCCCUUGUGGCCCGAGGUGUGGCGGGAGGAGUGUGGGUUCACCAAUACGCUUCUCCACUGAUCGGCUCUUUCCUUUAAUGUUCAUAGAUCAAGAACAGUUGUUGCUCCACUUGAGCAGCUAAAAAUCCUAUUGCAGGUGUAGUUUUGUAUGGAAUAUCUAUUAUUUUUCAUUCCUUCGCUUUAGUGAUUUUGUGUCUUCUUUUGUCAACUAGAUAUUUUUUUAAUAAAAGCAAGUUAUUUUGUGUUUCUUCCAUAGAUUUAGGUAUAGUUUCUGUCAUGGGUAUGAAUCAUUAUCAUAUUCCAAACAGAUAUCUUCUAUAAUUGAAUAAAAAAUUUGUACUAUAUUCUUUCAUUAUCACCAAGUUUUCUUUGGCUAAAAUUUCCAUUCACGACCCUUCAAAACCAUCAAGUAAUGUUUAGAAAGCAUUCUAAUGACAACCAAUAGUUUCCAUACAAAUAUUGGCACAUUUUCCUAUGGAUGGCAGUGAAAGUGGCUGGGGAUACUAAAAAAUUUAUUAGCAACCUAUAGGUGCACCAAAAGUUGGGUAAUUCCACAAGGUGCACUUGGUCUGUUAUUUUUCCAAUUCAUGCUCUUCUUCUCACCUUUCUAUUUUCCACACCCAAAGUGCUCUUGAUGUCUUGAAAAAAAAUCUUUUUCUUUCUAUUUUUUUUUUAGGUUCAAAACUAUAUCAUUUAGACAAACAAGGUACCAUUGGAUUCAUAAAAAUAAGAUAAAAAAAAGUUGAAAUGUGUAGUUUUGGUGGUGGUUUGUCUUCCAGAAAGAUCAAAUGGGAGUUGUAACUUGUAAGACUAUCGAUGUGCUCUCCCACAAAGCCAUUUGUACUCUCACUUCAGCUAACUAAUCAUACCAUGUCCAUCAUCUCUCAAGAUGGUGUGGGUAUUAUGUAUUUAUUUUUGUGAGGCGACCUAAGUUCAAAUGCACAUGUAUGCAUUUUGCAAAUAAUGUUGUUGUAUAUGGAUCUCAUGUUGCAUUAUGUCCAGUAUCAUUCAUAAAUUAUUUGAUAUAUGACUUUCACAAUGUGAUAAUUUUGGACUUUAUUUUGUUAGCGAUUUUUUUAUUUUCAAUUUGUAAUCUUUAAAAAGUAAAAUAAAAUCAGAGACAUUUGAAAAGGAAAAAAAUAAACAUUUACCACAUCAUCAUACAUUUCUAUUAAAUUUAAAUGUGCCAAAGAAAAUAAAAUUAGAAAAAUUUACCACCCAAACAAGGCCUACCUUCUCAUGUUGUAUAGAUGGUGGUAAAUAUAGGUUCAAAAUCCCCAUACUAUUCAGUAUAAUGGACCUAUCCAAGGGCUCAAGUAUAUAUGGAAAACCGAGGGUUUUCAAGAACUUUUCAGAGGCAAUGGUACUAAGUGCGCACGUAUAGUCCCAAACUCAGCUGUGAAGUUCUUCGGCUAUGAACAAGCAUCAAGGUAAGUUCUUGCAUCAUGGAAUGGAAUCACAUUUCAACAUUUUCCUUGAUUUUGGAAAGAAUCAGUUAUUUGAAACCUGCUCUGAUAUAGUCAAUUAACUACUAUUUCAUUCUUAAAAUUAUUAUUGAAAGAGUUCUUUCCUGGAAGUAAUUGCCCUCUUUCUUCUCAAUGGAAACCAUAUUAUUCAUCAUAAACUGUAACUGAUAUCUGCUUGGAAAGUGAGUUUUUCAAUUUAAUUAAGAGAACAAUUCUGUUUGAGGCAAAAAACUUUUUUUUGCCUCAAACCGUGUUAAGGGCUGGUCUGUGCUAAUAGCAUUUGUCAAAGAUUAUACAUAACAGAAAGUCUGACGUAAAAAUAUGAUAAAACAUUAAAUAUUUUAUUACUCGUUGCAAAUUGUUUAAUCCCAAAUUAAUGAUACUCACCAACUUUCUAAUAAAAAACCAAGAUCAUCCUCUUAAAGGAAUCUAGUUGAGGUGUUCUAAUAAAUCAAAAUGAACCAACAAUAGGUCUGACUUUUGUGAGUUAGUAGCUUAGAUUAGGUUCAUUUUUUAUAUUAUGUAUUUUUCUUUUGGAGGAAUUUACUAAUAACUGCAUAUGUAAUUUAUCAGUGGAAUUCUGUGGCUUUACUAGCAUCAAUCUGGCAACGGUAUGACUUACACUCAUAAAAUGUGUUAUUUUUGUUUUAGCAUUAUAUCUGAUAUUAUUUGUUGAUGCUAUAGUUUCUUUUACUUUUUUAAAAUAUAUAUUGUUGAAAAAGAAAUCAUCACAGCAUUCCACAUCCAUCUAAUGUAUCACAUUGAUUUGCGUUUUUCAAAUUAGCAAGUUUCUGAGUUAAUCCAAAUGUAUGUUCAACUAACAUAGAGAAGGUAUCAAUCCCAUCAUUUUUCCAUUAGUAGUCAUUAUUACAACAGACCCAAGGCAAAAGCUAAGAUAUAAAGGAUUUUCUAUGGGGAGGUUUUGCGGGAAAGGAAUGAAUGGACGAUGGUUCAAGGCAAUAAAUACUGGACCAACAUGAAUAUGUUGUACAAGUAUUAGAUACAAGGACGGAGUGUGCAUGAUGCAACAUGCUUUUUUGGUAAGGUCAAAUCCACUAAUUUGACUGAACUGUUUUCCAAACGAUCCAAUUUGGAUGUUUUUUUCAGACAUGCUAAAUAUUAGGUGUCCAUCAAAGUCUAAACUAUCUAAUUAUCACUCCAUAUCUCUGAGUUCUAUUGGUAGAUCUAUCUUUGUUUUAGAUGAUAAUAGACAAGAUGCUCAACUCAGUCCUGCAUUGCGUCUUGGUGCUGGAGCAUGUGCUGAUAUAAUUGCUAUGUCUGCUACUUAUCCAAUGGAUAUGGUCCGCGGAAGGAUUACGAUUCAGAUGCUCCUACCUCUUUCUAUUUUCAUGUCUUCUAUGACAUUGUAAAUCAUUGGCAGACAUUCAUUGCUAAUAUCUUGUUUUCUAAAAUAGGUCCCCGGGGUCAUGGUACCGUGAUAGGGCAUUUAGGUUAUCUCCCAUGUAUCCGCAGUUCGAACCUCAGCUACGGUAUAUUUGUAGGAAUUUUUCCUCUAAAUGGGGGGCGUAAUCAAAAGAUGCUGAGCUUCUGGGCUGGCCGUCACAUGCGCUUCCCGAUUUAUCUUAGUGAUCGAUGGAAAACUUUCGUGGGGCCGGGCCGGUCAUCCCAGAUUUGACGUUACCUAGUCCGGUUAAUUAUUUUUUUUUAUUUUCUAAAACAAACCAAAAAAUCCCCUUACCAGUAUAGAGAAAUGUUUCGCGCAUUGGGCACUGUUUAUCAUGAAGAGGGCUCCCGUGUUUUGUACAAAUGGUGGCUUCCAUCUGU
Long non-coding RNA from Zingiber officinale, 3546 nucleotides. RefSeq lists it as uncharacterized. The transcript is spliced from 2 exons. Lineage: Eukaryota; Viridiplantae; Streptophyta; Magnoliopsida; Zingiberales; Zingiberaceae. The record is from RefSeq and is a predicted model, not a curated record.